CAGUAGCCGCGGUAAUACGUAGGGUGCGAGCGUUAAUCGGAAUUACUGGGCGUAAAGCGUGCGCAGGCGGUUGUGUAAGACAGGUGUGAAAUCCCCGGGCUUAACCUGUGAACUGCGCUUGUGACUGCACAGCUAGAGUAUGGCAGAGGGGGGUGGAAUUCCACGUGUAGCAGUGAAAUGCGUAGAGAUGUGGAGGAACACCGAUGGCGAAGGCAGCCCCCUGGGAUAGCACUGACGUUCAUGCCCGAAAGCGUGGGUAGCAAACAGGAUUAGAUACCCCCGUAGUCCCUGUCUCUUAUAC
RNAcentral lists this ribosomal RNA (301 nucleotides) under uncultured bacterium. RNAcentral describes it as "partial 16S ribosomal RNA". It matches the Rfam family "Bacterial small subunit ribosomal RNA", at positions 509 to 807 of the family's 1533-position model. The record is from RNAcentral.